AUUGAACGCUAGCGGGAUGCUUUACACAUGCAAGUCGAACGGAGUGGCGGACGGGUGAGUAAUAUAUCGGAACGUGCCCAGUAGGGGGGGAUAACUACUAGAAAGAGUGGAUAAUACCGCAUACUAUUAGAGCCGCCGAUAUCGGAUUAGCUAGUUGGUGGGGUAACGGAUCACCAAGGCAACGAUCCAUAGCUGGUUUGAGAGGACGACCAUACACACGGGGACUGAGACACGUCCCAGACUCCUACGGGAGGCAGAAGUGGGGAAUUUUGGACAUGGGGCGAAACCCGGAUCCAGCCAGCCCGCGUGUAUGAUGAAGGCCUGCGGGUUGUAAAGUACUUUUGGCAGGGAAGCGGUAUCUGCAGAAUAAGCACCGGCUAACUACGUGCCAGCAGCCGCGGUAAUAC
This 407-nucleotide ribosomal RNA is filed under the name uncultured bacterium. RNAcentral describes it as "partial 16S ribosomal RNA". It matches the Rfam family "Bacterial small subunit ribosomal RNA", at positions 30 to 526 of the family's 1533-position model. The record is from RNAcentral.